UGACGCUGAGGCACGAAAGCUAGGGGAGCGAACAGGACUAGAUACCCUGGUAGUCCUAGCUGUUAACGAUGGGCACUUUGCUUUGGGGGACCUGAUUCCCUCAGGGCCGGAGCUAACGCGUUAAGUGCCCCGCCUGGGGAGUAUGCUCGCAAGGCUAAAACUCAAAGGAAUUGACGGGGGCUCACACAAGCGGUGGAGCAUGUUGUUCAAUUCGAAGCAACGCGAAGAACCUUACCUGGGCUUGACAUGCUAGUGGUACAAACCCGAAAGGGGGCGGACCUCUUAACCGAGGAGCUAGCACAGGUGCUGCAUGGCUGUCGUCAGCUCGUGUCGUGAGACGUUGGGUUAAGUCCCGUAACGAACGAAACCCUUGUCGCUUGUUGCUACCGGGUCAUGCCGGGCACUCUGGCGAGACUGCCGGUGCAAACCGGAGGAAGGUGGGGACGACGUCAAGUCAUCAUGGUCCUUACGUCCAGGGCUACAAACGUGCUACAAUGGCAGGUACGGAGAGACGCAAAGCCGCGAGGUGGAGCAAAUCUUCAAAGCCUGCCCCAGUUCGGAUUGGAGGCUGCAAUUCGCCUCCAUGAAGGUGGAAUCGCUAGUAAUCGCCCAUCCGCAACGCCGCGGUGAAUCUGUUCCUGAGCCUUGUACACACCGCCCGUCAAGCCAUCCAAGCUGGAAGCACUUAAAGUCCGGCGCC
RNAcentral lists this ribosomal RNA (700 nucleotides) under uncultured organism. Its description in RNAcentral is "bacterial SSU rRNA". It matches the Rfam family "Bacterial small subunit ribosomal RNA", at positions 741 to 1435 of the family's 1533-position model. The record is from RNAcentral.